GGGGUUAUAGUUCAGUGAUAGAGCACAUGCUUGGUGUGCACGAGGUCCUAGGUUCAAACCCCAGUGCCUCUG
This 72-nucleotide transfer RNA is filed under the name Camelus dromedarius (Arabian camel). It matches the Rfam family "tRNA". From Rfam's summary of the family: Transfer RNA (tRNA) molecules are approximately 80 nucleotides in length. Their secondary structure includes four short double-helical elements and three loops (D, anti-codon, and T loops). Further hydrogen bonds mediate the characteristic L-shaped molecular structure. tRNAs have two regions of fundamental functional importance: the anti-codon, which is responsible for specific mRNA codon recognition, and the 3' end, to which the tRNAs corresponding amino acid is attached (by aminoacyl-tRNA synthetases). tRNAs cope with the degeneracy of the genetic code in two manners: having more than one tRNA (with a specific anti-codon) for a particular amino acid; and 'wobble' base-pairing, i.e. permitting non-standard base-pairing at the 3rd anti-codon position. The record is from Rfam by way of RNAcentral. RNAcentral also lists the same sequence under 2 other names. Lineage: Eukaryota; Metazoa; Chordata; Mammalia; Artiodactyla; Camelidae.